UCUCCGUUGGUGAACCAGCGGAGGGAUCAUUACAGAGUACUCGCUCUAUAAAACCCACUGUGAACUUACCUUUUUGUUGCCUCGGCGGGCGGCUCCAGGGCGGAGCCAGUGCCUCUUUGCUGAGGUGCCCGCCGAAGGCCCCACCAAAUACUCUGCUGUAGUUGGCAUAUCCGAGUCAAAAUACAAAAUACGUUAAAACUUUCAACAACGGAUCUCUUGGUUCUG
This 225-nucleotide unclassified non-coding RNA is filed under the name root metagenome. RNAcentral describes it as "partial contains small subunit ribosomal RNA, internal transcribed spacer 1, and 5.8S ribosomal RNA". The record is from RNAcentral.